RNAcentral lists this ribosomal RNA (1317 nucleotides) under Modestobacter sp. BMG5755. Its description in RNAcentral is "bacterial SSU rRNA". It matches the Rfam family "Bacterial small subunit ribosomal RNA", at positions 117 to 1444 of the family's 1533-position model. Lineage: Bacteria; Bacillati; Actinomycetota; Actinomycetes; Geodermatophilales; Geodermatophilaceae. The record is from RNAcentral.
GUGGGCAACCUGCCCUCAGCUCUGGGAUAACUCCAAGAAAUUGGUGCUAAUACCGGAUGUGACCGCUGACCGCAUGGUCUGGUGGUGGAAAGAUUCAUCGGCUGAGGAUGGGCCCGCGGCCUAUCAGCUUGUUGGUGGGGUCACGGCCCACCAAGGCGACGACGGGUAGCCGGCCUGAGAGGGUGACCGGCCACACUGGGACUGAGACACGGCCCAGACUCCUACGGGAGGCAGCAGUGGGGAAUAUUGCGCAAUGGGCGAAAGCCUGACGCAGCGACGCCGCGUGAGGGAUGACGGCCUUCGGGUUGUAAACCUCUUUCAGUAGGGACGAAGCGAAAGUGACGGUACCUACAGAAGAAGCACCGGCCAACUACGUGCCAGCAGCCGCGGUAAUACGUAGGGUGCAAGCGUUGUCCGGAAUUAUUGGGCGUAAAGAGCUCGUAGGCGGUCUGUCGCGUCGGCUGUGAAAACCCGAGGCUCAACCUCGGGCCUGCAGUCGAUACGGGCAAACUAGAGUACUGCAGGGGAGACUGGAAUUCCUGGUGUAGCGGUGAAAUGCGCAGAUAUCAGGAGGAACACCGGUGGCGAAGGCGGGUCUCUGGGCAGUAACUGACGCUGAGGAGCGAAAGCGUGGGGAGCGAACAGGAUUAGAUACCCUGGUAGUCCACGCCGUAAACGUUGGGCGCUAGGUGUGGGGGCCAUUCCACGGUCUCCGUGCCGCAGCUAACGCAUUAAGCGCCCCGCCUGGGGAGUACGGCCGCAAGGCUAAAACUCAAAGGAAUUGACGGGGGCCCGCACAAGCGGCGGAGCAUGUUGCUUAAUUCGAUGCAACGCGAAGAACCUAACCUAGGCUUGACAUGCACGGAAAUCUGUCAGAGAUGGCAGGUCCUUUAAAGGGUCGUGCACAGGUGGUGCAUGGUUGUCGUCAGCUCGUGUCGUGAGAUGUUGGGUUAAGUCCCGCAACAGAGCGCAACCCUCGUUCUAUGUUGCCAGCACGUGAUGGUGGGGACUCAUAGGAGACUGCCGGGGUCAACUCGGAGGAAGGUGGGGAUGACGUCAAAUCAUCAUGCCCCUUAUGUCUAGGGCUGCAAACAUGCUACAAUGGCCGGUACAAAGGGCUGCGAUACCGCGAGGUGGAGCGAAUCCCAAAAAGCCGGUCUCAGUUCGGAUUGGGGUCUGCAACUCGACCCCAUGAAGUUGGAGUCGCUAGUAAUCGCAGAUCAGCAACGCUGCGGUGAAUACGUUCCCGGGCCUUGUACACACCGCCCGUCACGUCACGAAACUCGGGAACCCCCGAAGCCGGUGGCCCUACCCUUG